CAGCACCUCAAGUGGUCAGGAUGAUUAUUGGGCCUAAAGCAUCCGUAGCCGGCUCUGUAAGUUUUCGGUUAAAUCUGUAUGCACAACAUACAGGCUGCCGGGAAUACUGCAGAGCUAGGGAGUGGGAGAGGUAGACGGUACUCGGUAGGAAGGGGUAAAAUCCUUUGAUCUAUUGAUGACCACCUGUGGCGAAGGCGGUCUACCAGAACACGUCCGACGGUGAGGGAUGAAAGCUGGGGGAGCAAACCGGAUUAGAUACCAGAGUAGUCC
Molecule: ribosomal RNA, 270 nt
Filed under: uncultured archaeon
Lineage: Archaea
Description: partial 16S ribosomal RNA
Rfam family: Archaeal small subunit ribosomal RNA
Source: RNAcentral